This 2732-nucleotide ribosomal RNA is filed under the name Enterobacter sp. MGH 5. RNAcentral's name for it is "bacterial LSU rRNA". It matches the Rfam family "Bacterial large subunit ribosomal RNA". The record is from RNAcentral. Lineage: Bacteria; Pseudomonadati; Pseudomonadota; Gammaproteobacteria; Enterobacterales; Enterobacteriaceae.
UUAAGCGACUAAGCGUACACGGUGGAUGCCCUGGCAGUCAGAGGCGAUGAAGGACGUGCUAAUCUGCGAAAAGCGCCGGCGAGGUGAUAUGAACCUUUGACCCGGCGAUGUCCGAAUGGGGAAACCCAGUGCAAUUCGUUGCACUAUCGUUAACUGAAUACAUAGGUUAACGAGGCGAACCGGGGGAACUGAAACAUCUAAGUACCCCGAGGAAAAGAAAUCAACCGAGAUUCCCCCAGUAGCGGCGAGCGAACGGGGAGCAGCCCGGAGUCUGAAUCAGCUUGUGUGUUAGUGGAACGGUCUGGAAAGUCCGACGGUACAGGGUGAUAGUCCCGUACACGAAAGCACACUUGCUGUGAACUCGAAGAGUAGGGCGGGACACGUGGUAUCCUGUCUGAAUAUGGGGGGACCAUCCUCCAAGGCUAAAUACUCCUGACUGACCGAUAGUGAACCAGUACCGUGAGGGAAAGGCGAAAAGAACCCCGGCGAGGGGAGUGAAAAAGAACCUGAAACCGUGUACGUACAAGCAGUGGGAGCCUCUUUAUGGGGUGACUGCGUACCUUUUGUAUAAUGGGUCAGCGACUUAUAUUCUGUAGCAAGGUUAACCGUAUAGGGGAGCCGAAGGGAAACCGAGUCUUAACUGGGCGUUAAGUUGCAGGGUAUAGACCCGAAACCCGGUGAUCUAGCCAUGGGCAGGUUGAAGGUUGGGUAACACUAACUGGAGGACCGAACCGACUAAUGUUGAAAAAUUAGCGGAUGACCUGUGGCUGGGGGUGAAAGGCCAAUCAAACCGGGAGAUAGCUGGUUCUCCCCGAAAGCUAUUUAGGUAGCGCCUCGUGAACUCAUCUUCGGGGGUAGAGCACUGUUUCGGCUAGGGGGCCAUCCCGGCUUACCAACCCGAUGCAAACUACGAAUACCGAAGAAUGUUAUCACGGGAGACACACGGCGGGUGCUAACGUCCGUCGUGAAGAGGGAAACAACCCAGACCGCCAGCUAAGGUCCCAAAGUCAUGGUUAAGUGGGAAACGAUGUGGGAAGGCACAGACAGCCAGGAUGUUGGCUUAGAAGCAGCCAUCAUUUAAAGAAAGCGUAAUAGCUCACUGGUCGAGUCGGCCUGCGCGGAAGAUGUAACGGGGCUAAACCAUGCACCGAAGCUGCGGCAGCGACGCUUAUGCGUUGUUGGGUAGGGGAGCGUUCUGUAAGCCGUUGAAGGUGUCCUGUGAGGGGUGCUGGAGGUAUCAGAAGUGCGAAUGCUGACAUAAGUAACGAUAAAGCGGGUGAAAAGCCCGCUCGCCGGAAGACCAAGGGUUCCUGUCCAACGUUAAUCGGGGCAGGGUGAGUCGACCCCUAAGGCGAGGCCGAAAGGCGUAGUCGAUGGGAAACAGGUUAAUAUUCCUGUACUUGGUGUUACUGCGAAGGGGGGACGGAGAAGGCUAUGUCAGCCGGGCGACGGUUGUCCCGGUUUAAGCAUGUAGGCGGAGGUUCCAGGUAAAUCCGGUACCUUAUUAACGCUGAGGUGUGAUGACGAGGCACUACGGUGCUGAAGUGAUAAAUGCCCUGCUUCCAGGAAAAGCCUCUAAGCAUCAGGUAACACGAAAUCGUACCCCAAACCGACACAGGUGGUCAGGUAGAGAAUACCAAGGCGCUUGAGAGAACUCGGGUGAAGGAACUAGGCAAAAUGGUGCCGUAACUUCGGGAGAAGGCACGCUGAUAUGUAGGUGAAGUCCCUGCGGACGGAGCUGAAAUCAGUCGAAGAUACCAGCUGGCUGCAACUGUUUAUUAAAAACACAGCACUGUGCAAACACGAAAGUGGACGUAUACGGUGUGACGCCUGCCCGGUGCCGGAAGGUUAAUUGAUGGGGUUAGCGGCAACGCGAAGCUCUUGAUCGAAGCCCCGGUAAACGGCGGCCGUAACUAUAACGGUCCUAAGGUAGCGAAAUUCCUUGUCGGGUAAGUUCCGACCUGCACGAAUGGCGUAAUGAUGGCCAGGCUGUCUCCACCCGAGACUCAGUGAAAUUGAACUCGCUGUGAAGAUGCAGUGUACCCGCGGCAAGACGGAAAGACCCCGUGAACCUUUACUAUAGCUUGACACUGAACACUGGUCCUUGAUGUGUAGGAUAGGUGGGAGGCUUUGAAGCGUGGACGCCAGUCUGCGUGGAGCCAACCUUGAAAUACCACCCUUUAAUGGCUGGUGUUCUAACGUAGACCCGUAAUCCGGGUUGCGGACAGUGUCUGGUGGGUAGUUUGACUGGGGCGGUCUCCUCCCAAAGAGUAACGGAGGAGCACGAAGGUUGGCUAAUCCUGGUCGGACAUCAGGAGGUUAGUGCAAUGGCAUAAGCCAGCUUGACUGCGAGCGUGACGGCGCGAGCAGGUGCGAAAGCAGGUCAUAGUGAUCCGGUGGUUCUGAAUGGAAGGGCCAUCGCUCAACGGAUAAAAGGUACUCCGGGGAUAACAGGCUGAUACCGCCCAAGAGUUCAUAUCGACGGCGGUGUUUGGCACCUCGAUGUCGGCUCAUCACAUCCUGGGGCUGAAGUAGGUCCCAAGGGUAUGGCUGUUCGCCAUUUAAAGUGGUACGCGAGCUGGGUUUAGAACGUCGUGAGACAGUUCGGUCCCUAUCUGCCGUGGGCGCUGGAGAAUUGAGGGGGGCUGCUCCUAGUACGAGAGGACCGGAGUGGACGCAUCACUGGUGUUCGGGUUGUCAUGCCAAUGGCACUGCCCGGUAGCUAAAUGCGG